GAUGAACGCUGGCGGCGUGCCUAAUACAUGCAAGUCGAGCGAACAGACGAGGAGCUUGCUCCUCUGACGUUAGCGGCGGACGGGUGAGUAACACGUGGAUAACCUACCUAUAAGACUGGGAUAACUUCGGGAAACCGGAGCUAAUACCGGAUAAUAUAUUGAACCGCAGGGUUCAAUAGGGAAAUACGGUUUUGCUGUCACUUAUAGAUGGAUCCGCGCCGGAUUAGCUAGUUGGUAAGGUAACGGCUUACCAAGGCAACGAUGCGUAGCCGACCUGAGAGGGUGAUCGGCCACACUGGAACUGAGACACGGUCCAGACUCCUACGGGAGGCAGCAGUGGGGAAUCUUCCGCAAUGGGCGAAAGCCUGACGGAGCAACGCCGCGUGAGUGAUGAAGGUCUUCGGAUCGUAAAACUCUGUUAUUAGGGAAGAACAAAUGUGUAAGUAACUAUGCACGUCUUGACGGUACCUAAUCAGAAAGCCCCGGCUAACUACGUG
Molecule: ribosomal RNA, 497 nt
Filed under: uncultured bacterium
Lineage: Bacteria
Description: partial 16S ribosomal RNA
Rfam family: Bacterial small subunit ribosomal RNA
Source: RNAcentral